UCCCUGGUGGCUCAGUGGUAAAGAGUCUGCCUGCCAAUGCAGGAGACAUAGGUUUGACCCCUGGCCUGGGAA
This 72-nucleotide transfer RNA is filed under the name Bos taurus (domestic cattle). It matches the Rfam family "tRNA". Rfam says of the family: Transfer RNA (tRNA) molecules are approximately 80 nucleotides in length. Lineage: Eukaryota; Metazoa; Chordata; Mammalia; Artiodactyla; Bovidae. The record is from Rfam by way of RNAcentral. RNAcentral also lists the same sequence under 2 other names.